GAUCAUGGCUCAGGAUGAACGCUGGCGGCGUGCUUAACACAUGCAAGUCGAACGAAGCACUUUAAUUGAUUUCUUCGGAAUGAAGUUUUUGUGACUGAGUGGCGGACGGGUGAGUAACGCGUGGGUAACCUGCCUCAUACAGGGGGAUAACAGUUGGAAACGACUGCUAAUACCGCAUGGUGCAGGGGUAAAAACUCCGGUGGUAUGAGAUGGACCCGCGUCUGAUUAGCUAGUUGGUGGGGUAACGG
This 248-nucleotide ribosomal RNA is filed under the name uncultured bacterium. RNAcentral's name for it is "partial 16S ribosomal RNA". It matches the Rfam family "Bacterial small subunit ribosomal RNA", at positions 15 to 263 of the family's 1533-position model. The record is from RNAcentral.